This 255-nucleotide ribosomal RNA is filed under the name uncultured bacterium. RNAcentral's name for it is "partial 16S ribosomal RNA". It matches the Rfam family "Archaeal small subunit ribosomal RNA", at positions 474 to 727 of the family's 1478-position model. The record is from RNAcentral.
UACCAGCACCCCGAGUGGUCGGGACGUUUUAUUGGGCCUAAAGCAUCCGUAGCCGGUUCUACAAGUCUUCCGUUAAAUCCACCUGCUUAACAGAUGGGCUGCGGAAGAUACUAUGGAGCUAGGAGGCGGGAGAGGCAAGCGGUACUCGAUGGGUAGGGGUAAAAUCCAUUGAUCCAUUGAAGACCACCAGUGGCGAAGGCGGCUUGCCAGAACGCGCUCGACGGUGAGGGAUGAAAGCUGGGGGGAGCAAACCGG